AUGCUUUCCAUAAACUCUGAAAACGGAUACAGUGUUGCCAGAUGUUUCUUGCUUUUGUCGCUUAUGCCCCUCAUCACUGCAAAGGGAAAUGAUGUGGAGAGUCCAAAAAAGGUAAGGGUGGACACGUUUACUGUUGUGUAUCAGAGUAUGACUGCACAUUGAUUUUAAACUGUAGAUCUGUAAUAUCCCAUUCUUCUUUUUUUUUUUUGGCAUGCUUGCCUUAAGACCCAUCACUGCUUGUUUAUCCAGCACUAUGAAUGCAAGCUUACCAUUACACCCCUAAUAUAUGUAAUAUACACUUGCCUGGAGGAAAGAAGUUGCAGUGUUUAACUUUUCAUUCCUCAAACAACCAUGUUGGAAGACGUACUCAUAUACAUAUUGCAUGAUGAAAAUGUCAAGUUUCAUUGGACUCAUCAUACUGUUGCUCACAAGGCAAAAAUUUAAUUUAUCAGUUAUCUCCGAAAACAUAGCCUACUGUUUAUUAUCGGUUAUCAUUAGUUGCCAAGAAGAGCAUCCCUGAGUUAAUUUAAUCUCUGCAUUUUAAUCACUACUUGUUGCUUAUUUGGUAGCACAUCUAUCUUCAAAUUGUCAGGCUGUGUCAUUGUCUUGCAAUAAGCAUUGCAUUGAGUUUGUCUAACUAUAAGAGACUUUGACAGGGGCCUUCACAGCUGAAAUGCUGAGAGAAUGAUCCUCGCCGCAAGUAAUGCUAGUCUCUUUUAUUGCGUCAGCCAUUUCUGCUUUCCCCUGAUAGGUUUCACGGUUAAUGUAUUCGUUUUCUGCUGUCACUUUUAUGAGUUUUAAGUAGAAAUGCCACUGACAUUCUGGGUCAGGAGAGGGAAUGAGGGACAGAGAGGAGGGGAAGAGAAGGUGACUGCAUUGGAAUUGGUGGAAAGGAAGAUGUAAUAUGCUUGUGUUUAGACCUUGACCUGGGGUCAGAUGUGUUUGUAUGUCUUGGGUUUUUAGUCAUUUUUUUUUUUUUUUUUGUUAUUUCGUUCUCUUUUCUUCAAGCAGGUGAAAUUAAAAGUUUGUUACCCUCAGUAUGGUUGAAGGUUCAUGCAUUCAUGGUCGAUUGAAUGUAAAUAAAGGAUAACCAUUCCUGUACUUUCUAUCA
Cyprinus carpio (common carp) is the source of this 1111-nucleotide long non-coding RNA. The record is from Ensembl. Lineage: Eukaryota; Metazoa; Chordata; Actinopteri; Cypriniformes; Cyprinidae.